RNAcentral lists this ribosomal RNA (253 nucleotides) under uncultured bacterium. RNAcentral describes it as "partial 16S ribosomal RNA". It matches the Rfam family "Bacterial small subunit ribosomal RNA", at positions 524 to 776 of the family's 1533-position model. The record is from RNAcentral.
UACGGAGGGUGCAAGCGUUGCUCGGAAUUAUUGGGCGUAAAGGGUAGGUAGGUGGUCUCAUUUGUCUGGGGUGAAAGCCUUGGGCUUAACUCAAGAAGUGCCCCAGAAACGGUGAGACUAGAGUCCUAGAGAGGGUCGUGGAAUUCCCGGUGUAGCGGUGAAAUGCGCAGAUAUCGGGAAGAACACCCGUGGCGAAGGCGGUUCUCUGGGACGGUACUGACGCUGAGACGCGAAAGCGUGGGGAGCGAACAGG